This 253-nucleotide ribosomal RNA is filed under the name uncultured bacterium. RNAcentral describes it as "partial 16S ribosomal RNA". It matches the Rfam family "Bacterial small subunit ribosomal RNA", at positions 524 to 776 of the family's 1533-position model. The record is from RNAcentral.
UACGUAGGGUGCAAGCGUUGUCCGGAAUUAUUGGGCGUAAAGAGCGUGUAGGCGGCCAGAUAAGUCCGCUGUGAAAUUUCGAGGCUCAACUUCGAGCUGUCGGUGGAAACUAUCUGGCUAGAGUCCGGAAGAGGAGAAUGGAAUUCCUGGUGUAGCGGUGAAAUGCGCAGAUAUCAGGAAGAACACCCGUGGCGAAGGCGGUUCUCUGGGACGGUACUGACGCUGAGACGCGAAAGCGUGGGGAGCGAACAGG